CGAAUAGUGCUGUACCUUACCUGUACUAUAUUCCUUUUAAUUCUUUCUGAAUCACUGUCUGCUCCUAAGAAUAAGUUAAUGGCAAGAAAUUGGGGCCCCCAGUCCAUGUUGUAUCUCAAAGGCAGACAUGGCAGAAGAUUUGUAUCAGACUAUGAAGAGCAGUAUCAGAAAAUACAUUUGGAUAGCUGGAAUUCAAUUC
Molecule: long non-coding RNA, 199 nt
Organism: Rana temporaria (common frog)
Lineage: Eukaryota; Metazoa; Chordata; Amphibia; Anura; Ranidae
Exons: 3
Source: RefSeq, a predicted model, not a curated record